Molecule: long non-coding RNA, 457 nt
Organism: Pistacia vera
Lineage: Eukaryota; Viridiplantae; Streptophyta; Magnoliopsida; Sapindales; Anacardiaceae
Exons: 3
Source: RefSeq, a predicted model, not a curated record
AUGUUUUCUUGUUCCUACGAAAGCUGAAACUCUACCGUAGUACCGUCACUUCAACAUUUCUAGCUCUUUUGUUCUCCGAUACAGUUGGAUGUCAAAGCUGGAUGUCAGAAGUUGAUAUAAUCAUUGCAGAAGCUGAAAACAUUUUGGAGUGCCUGAGCAGACCCCAUUUAAUUAGUUUUAGAACCCAGGCUCAACUUACUAUACAAGCUUCCAUUGCUGCAACAGAUGGUACUGCUUGUGAAACGCCAACUCAGUAGACAAAAGACCUCUAAUGUAACAUGAUGAGACUUUGUCUUCAUCAGUAAACAAAGAGAAGCUGCCUGUGUAGCGCUGAGGCUUGCACUUUGCUGUUUACAGGCAUGCUCCGUUGGUAUUCUUGCUAAGAUGCCUUUGUGGAAAUCUGGUCUUGAGCACCGACGGGGUACUGGUCUAGGAAUUGGGUCUUACCUAAACACUC